CAGCUGUUCUCCAAUGCAUCCUUGUCUUUACGCAUUUUCAUUUUCUUUCUUUCUUUCUCGUUGUAGCAUUAUCUUUCUCAUUUUUACAGGCCUCCUGUUUUUCCUUGCGAUUAUUUAUCUUGCGUGUGACUUUACGAGAGAAUUGACCAUUUGAGAGUUACUUGUAAGUCUUAAGAGAUUUCUGACGCAAGUUGGAGCGGCAAACUUGGGAUGGGUAAAACGCAGAAAAGAAUAAUCUUUUUGAUCGUUUGAAAAAUAAUUUUGCGUGAGUGUUAUACCUGAUGUUAUACACUGAUAUAACGAAAUAUAGUAUAUUUAUAGAUAUAGUACAUUUUUGUCAAUAUAUGCGUCCCUAACAACGAAUGGUUUAUUAUCAGGUAUUUUGCAUAAUUUCCGAUCUAGAGAUAAAUUAGUAACGAUGUUUGGAAUGUGUACGUAAAUGUAAACGACGAAAUUCCGUGAGUACACAACAGCCGCGUUGGCGCGUGCGUUAUGAAUUUUGUUCGUUAUUCACUCGAUGCGCGUUUAUUGCAAAAAUCGCUCGAGAUAAACGUCGUAGUGUAUUGCGCCGGGAAUGUCGCUAAAUUUUGUGGAUUUUCUGGGUAAUUGGUUAUAGAGACGCCAAGAGAAAAUUAGGGUUUACGCUUAUUUCUAUAAAACAUUGUACAAUAUAAUGCCGUAAUUAUGACUUGUUAAUAAUAAAUGGCCUAUCAUGUACGUCAAUAUUGAUGUGAUAUUGCAACGACACAUUUGUGUACGUAUUAAAGUGAGACUUGAGCAGCUCUCGUUGCUCCUACUCGGCUUGUGCGUUAAGAAAAUUGGGGAAAAAGCGUUAAUAUCGAUGACGUAAGAUUCGCGAGUCCGCCUGAUUCUUUCCUUCCACGACAUUAACCGCAGGGAGAAGUCGCUGAGACUGGGAUUGGAAAACGUUACACCAUGAUCCGGGCGCGCGCGGCUAGAGCGGCCGAAGCGACUAGAGCUUGAGUCAUAGAAUGAAUCAUGCGUUAUCCUCCAUCCGCGCCUUACACAUUCUUACGGAAUGCAUCUCUCCUCUACGUCGAUACGCCAUUUACAGCAAUGCGUGGUCGAAUUCCUUUUUGCACGUAAAGCUGGAUAAUUCGUCGACAAUUUUUUUUGUUCCGCUUGCUUGAUCAAAUUAACGCAUACAUAUCGUACGCACGUACGUUAAUUCGGCACCACGCGAACGGAUUCGUGCAUCGUACAGGAGUUGACAGAUGAUAAAUUAUUAAUCGUGUGACCACUGCGGAUAGGAUCACUCUGUUUUCGACAGCGACGCACCAAUUUAUUAUGUUUGAGUGCUGCCACACGGAUACCGAUAUGCAUGACUUGUCGACGUAAAAAUCGAGAUAAUCGGAAUUGCAUUGUCUUGUACAGUGUUAUUAUUACAACAUUGGGCGGCAUCGAUUUUGGAAAAAAAAUUGUUAAGUAGUUCCAAUUAAGAUUGGAAGAUCGGAAAGGUGCUCCGUCGAGCAUUUCAGAAGCUUGCAUAUUUUUAAUUAAGAUUGCUCUUGUCUCAAUUAAUCCUGUACGUGCAAUUGUAUUAUGUAUAUAAAAUUCUAUUUACUCGAAUUAUAAUAUUCUGUAAAUAAACAACUUUUUGCCAUACCUUUUUCGUGCUUUCUGCUUUUGUGUUGAGCCCGCACGAUUUUGCGCAUCCGGUCACGCGAAUGUUCGUCCCGGCCGCGGAACGCGCUAUACAAACGAAAUAUAAUAUAAUGAAAGAAGAGUAUCGCACAAGGCAUAACAAAAUAUAAAAACAUAGCGAUAUCGUAUUGAGUUACGUAUCGUAAAACUGUUAAAAACGUUACAAGGUAUUUCCAUGUAACUUAUCGUUGACGAAAAAAGAAUAACAAAAAUGAAAAGAUGCAAACGUAAUUAAAGCUACAAGAACGGUUUGAUUAAAUUUGGAAAAUUGUGGUAAAAUCAUGUUGCAAUUUUCAGUCGAACCGUUUCACGAACAAAGAGAUACCUGAUAUUCGUUUUGCACGCGAUAAUCGGUACGUGUACGCGGCCGUGGUUCGCUACGCGUCGCUACGUCGCCUCGCAAGGUCUCGACCUUGCGCGAAUAUGAUCUUUCGCUUCGAAGAAGAGGAGGCUUCUCGUUGUAGCGGCGAAAAGUCUCGAGCGCGCGCUCUCGCUCGAUAACGGAGAUCUUCUUUGAGGUUAGAAGGCAGGCAUGUGAAGCGCUCAAGUGAGUUUCCCAUGCCGCGUGGCAACGUCGUACGACCGUAGUGAAACUCCGGGGAUCGAGGUACGAAGAGGCCGAGGUGGAUGAGCGCGGCGGGAAGAGACUCAACGAAGACGAAGAGGACGAAGAAGCCGAAGAAGCGAUGACCACGCGUGCGAGGCACAGGGGAACGGGGGAAGCCACGUGGACCGACCACGAAGAAGCAACUUACGGCGACGCAUGGCCGCUACUUGAAGGACGGAAAGGUGGAAGAGCAUCCUUUGGAACCGGUCCGUCUUCUCGGAGCUUGUUCCGAGCUGCGGUGCCAGGUGAAGCCAGAACGCGAGCCUUCGCGUCGCUUCUCGUCCUGGCGUGUCUUUGUGCAUCUCGAUAGACUCAAAUGUACCAGCAUACGGUCGAUCGCAACAGUGCGAUCGAACGAUUGUUAUCGAUUUCAUGAAAGAAAGAAAGAAAGGAAGGAAAACAUAAUUCUUCA
This 2684-nucleotide long non-coding RNA is filed under the name Ooceraea biroi (clonal raider ant). Its description in RNAcentral is "uncharacterized LOC105274933". The record is from RNAcentral. Lineage: Eukaryota; Metazoa; Arthropoda; Insecta; Hymenoptera; Formicidae.